Molecule: ribosomal RNA, 253 nt
Filed under: uncultured bacterium
Lineage: Bacteria
Description: partial 16S ribosomal RNA
Rfam family: Bacterial small subunit ribosomal RNA
Source: RNAcentral
UACGUAGGUGGCAAGCGUUGUCCGGAUUUACUGGGCGUAAAGAGCGCGCAGGCGGUCGUUCAAGUCGCGUGUGAAAGCCCCCGGCUCAACUGGGGAGGGUCACGCGAUACUGAUCGACUCGAAGGCAGGAGAGGGAAGUGGAAUUCCCGGUGUAGUGGUGAAAUGCGUAGAUAUCGGGAGGAACACCAGUGGCGAAGGCGACUCACUGGGGAUUUUCUGACGCUGAGGGACGAAAGCCAGGGGAGCGAACGGG